This 85-nucleotide transfer RNA is filed under the name Saccharimonas sp. (SeqCode). Its description in RNAcentral is "tRNA-Leu". It matches the Rfam family "tRNA". Rfam says of the family: Transfer RNA (tRNA) molecules are approximately 80 nucleotides in length. Their secondary structure includes four short double-helical elements and three loops (D, anti-codon, and T loops). The record is from RNAcentral. RNAcentral also lists the same sequence under 4 other names. Lineage: Bacteria; Candidatus Saccharimonadota; Candidatus Saccharimonadia; Saccharimonadales (SeqCode); Saccharimonadaceae (SeqCode).
GCGGAUGUGGUGGAAUUGGUAGACACGCAUGCCUUAGGAGCAUGUGCUUUCGAGCGUGAAGGUUCAAGUCCUUUCAUCCGCACCA